RNAcentral lists this long non-coding RNA (1332 nucleotides) under Oncorhynchus kisutch (coho salmon). RNAcentral describes it as "lncRNA (ENSOKIG00005003481.1)". The record is from RNAcentral. Lineage: Eukaryota; Metazoa; Chordata; Actinopteri; Salmoniformes; Salmonidae.
GGUUGAUACCAUUCCAUUGACGAUAUUCCAGCCAUUAAUAUGAGCCGUCCUCUCAGCAGCCCCCACUGCCUAGUUUAUAAAGGGAAAAACUUUAUUAAGCUACUUCGAUGUUGAAGAGACUUUCGUAGCAGGUUAGGAGACUGACGUUAACGUUAGGAAAAUUAUAAACUAAAACGCUUUCCUAACCUGCUAAGAAAAUCACUAUCGAAGUGGUUAAGUGUCCCUAGUUUCUAAGGUAACAUGAUGGAGAAAAGCCCUCAAGUUUACGACCUGUUAAAGUUCACGCCGACACAACAACUGACUAAGGCGACAAUUGCAAAUAAGUUUAAAACUUAGGUUACAUUUGAGCUGUCAGGCAGGUGAAUAUAUAUAUUUUUUGACGAUAAUCUUGGUCCAAUGAAGGCAUCCCGGUGUUGUGGAGAAGGUGGCCACGUGACGGAGCCAGGCUGCAAUACAGCUGUCGGUCGUUUAAUACACUGCGCCGGAGAAGCAAGCGGGGUAGAAAGACUCGACGAGAGAAGAAUAAAAUCUAUUCCGAACAAAUAUUAUACUCACUCGUUGCGACACAACAGACCAUGGACGGUUAUGCGCUGACAGAAGAUGAGCUGUUUUCCUCCUGCCUCCCGAAUCUCACCUGGGAGAAUUCCUACGAGCAGUUUGGAGAGACCUGGCUCUGCGGUAGUUUCUCCAGGCCUGGUUGUGAGGCAGCAACAAAUACGGUCCUCAGGCACCAAGGUACAUCAAGGCAUGCUGGUACUGCCAACCCUGCAAACCUGACAGCACAGCCAGAGAACAAUUCCAGAGUAGAAACAAGACCGGGGCUAUUAGUCCUGGUGUCAGACUGUAUUUUCACCCCCCACCAACUCAAUUUGUAGCCGUCUAAAAUAUUGACUAGGGGAUGUCAGUUGAUUCGGCCUGUCAUCGGCAGUGAUUGUUGGGGAAAACAAUAUUUGCUGCAGCAUCCCGUUUCCUUCCAUCCCGUCCCGCCACCGCCGCUGGCAAAAGACACUACCUCCGCCAGCUGUGUCGAACACUCCCUAUCUAUCACUUUAGCCUCAGCCUCCCUCCCAUCUCACCAGCCUCCCCUUCUCCAAAUAAUCUUCUGAUAAGAAAUAACACCACCAAAGCUUAGUUGUAGCCGUUGUACAUGAUAUUUCUUCCUCAAGUCUCUCUCUCUCUCAUAAAAGCUAGUCGGCUGUAAUGCUUAAUGAAAGUCAUUUGCUCUCCACAUGCAUUGUGGUAAUGUAAAAUACACCUUUAGGGACAUUUGGUCUUUUCUGUAGUAAUAAAGUAGCUCAUUCUUAAAGGGAAUGUUUGAUAAUUGGAAGUGGG